CCCAACUAUUAUUAUUAUCAAAAUUAAAGAUUUUCUUGCUAAAGAGUUCAAAGCUCUUCUCUGAAACUAAAGGUUGCAACACGUGGACUGAGAAAUCCCCUCCUAUGUAUCUGCCUACAUUACUAUUUCGAGAGGUUAAAAUUAUCCUACUACCAAUUUUUGAAUCACAUUCAGGAAGGACAAGUUUUAGAUCAUCCCAAAUUUCAACAUUCCAAAUGUCAUCUAAGAGAAUAACAUACCUUUUUAUUUUCAAGAGUGAUCGUAGGUUGUUCUCCAAGUUUUCUUUCCUUUCCUCUUCCGUCAGUCCAACUUGUUUGGCUAUGUCGGUUAAGAUUUCUCGCGCCCUUGGCUGUUGUGAAAUGUAGACCAAUCCCGAACACUCAAAUUGAUCACGGACAAGCCUAUAAAGUUUCUUGGCAAGAGUUGUUUUUCCUAGACCGGGCAUGCCAACUAUUGAAACAACUCCAUAAGGCAAAUCUUGAUCAAGUAAUUUGGCUUGUAGUGUAUUGAAGUCAUCUUCCAGACCGAUGACCUCUGUUUCAUUUGCAUGAAGGAACAAUCUUCUCUGGUCCAAUGGAAUGCAAUCAUUGUUGUUAUUUGUAUCCAUGAUGUUGUAAGUUGUCCUUACACGAUCAAUGUCCGCAACCCUUCUUUUUAUCUUCUCAAUCUCCCUAGCAAACUCAUCCGCAAAAGAAACCGUCUUUAGGCAACAAAUUGCGCCCUUGAACUUAUUGGAUUGUUCAAUUUUGGGAAGGAAGUCAUCUAAGAGAUCCUCCACAUCACCUGCCAGUUGUUGAAUAUCUUUUAUCAAGUUUUUCACACUUGUAUCGCCUUCAAUUGCCUUGUCCUUUGCGUUGUCUAUGUAUGAUCGAAUGUGUCUCAUUUCUCUCUGGAGCCAAUCGAUGUCUUCUUUCAACCAAUAUAAACGCGUUCCUUCUUGAAAGAGUACAUUUCCAGCUAUUUCAACAGAUUUAUUGAUGACUGCUGUGAGAAGAAUUUCAGCCAUUUCUUUUUCAGUAGCUACAAAAAAUUGAUCAGAAUGAGUAAUUAGAAAGAAGAAGAUAAUUGGUAAAGGAAAAGAAAGGUAAGCUUAGAAUAGUUGGAGUCAACUGCCAAGUCUCCUAAUAAUGUCAAGUAAAUGAAAAACGAAAGAAGAAAGGAACAACACAUGCUCUGGAUAAGAAACUGGUUGAAUAGUCAAAGGAAAUAACACCGUUCGUUCCAAUUUAAAUGUCAUUCUAUUUAAUUCGAUAUAGAAUUUAAGAAACAAACAGUGACUUUUAAUAUUUUGUGGCGGAUUAUUGAUAAUGUACCUUUUUAAAAAAAAAAUUACGUAACUAAGCAAACAUCUUUAGACAGUGGCGUACGCAAGAUAUUUCAUAAGAGGUGUCACAUUUUAAAAUAAAAAUAAAUAAUUAAAAAAUUAAGAUUUAUUUUAGCAUUUUUAUGUGUGUAGCGAAAUAUAUUUAAAUUAAAAAAAUUAACCAAGAAAGAAAAAGGCGGUAUUGAUGUUCGAACACCCAACUUCAAACCAGAAGAUAAGUACCCUAACCUACUGAGCUACGCUCCUAUUUGGUUUAAGGAGUGUCACUUUAUUGUAUUUGUUCUUUGUUUACAAUUUGCUUUCCAAUUAUUUAGAAUUAUUUAAUAAAAAAAUUCGACGAAGCCGUGUCAUGUGACACACCUUCGCCUAAGGUAAAUCCGCCCUGUCUUUAGUAUAUAACUAUCAAUCACACCAUAUGUUAAAAAAAUGUAUUAUAUAUCUAGACGCCAUUUUAUGUUUCCUAACUGUUUGAUGAACGUCUUGCAAAACUUUGCCCAAUUUGGUUCAUGGCUGUGAGUUUGGGCUAUUAUGAGAUUCAAUUUGUAUGUUCCAUGAAAAUUAGGCUUUUAUGCAAUUUGACUCUCUCAAAAUCUUUUGCCAUACUCAUACAGAGUGGGCGUUCGGUUUGAUAUUUAUUUAACUUUGAUUUGAUUUGGUCGUGAGAUAUCAUCAUAAUGACUCGAGUAGAAUGGUCGGAAUUUCUUCACUUUUCUGAUAAGGAGUGUUCUGUUCUAAAUUUACUAAUUCGACUAAUUCAAAUUUGUAUCACGUAAUACUGAUUUGAGAAAGAAAUACUUUUUAUCCAAAAAAAAAUCAUUUUCAGAGCUCGAAUUGAUUUUUUUUUUUGGUUUCAUUACGUGUAAUUUUCAAGUCCUUGUGGUAUCACAACACAGGUUAGGAUAUUUGGAGGUUAUUUCACAAGGACUUACAACAAGAAAAGAAAAAAAAAAGAUAUAAUUUGAGGAAAAUAUGAAAGUCUUGCAUUAAAGUUAAAAAAAAAGUAGUAGUUGUUUGCUCGUGAAGUUCAAAUAUUUUUCACUAAAAUUUAUAGAAUUGAAAUUGAAAAUAGAGUUAGGUUUAAAUUAUUUUUUUCUUGCGAAUGAAAGAACCGAACGAUUGGAGAUUGGAGAAUUUUACCAUCAAACUGCUUUUGAAAUAAAGUGAAAAAUUAUUUCGAAAAAAAAUAUAAAUAAUUCACAUAACAUCCUAAAAUAGCUUUCUCAAUCUCGACAAUUGCUCAUUUAUAAACUACGGAAAAUGGUCAAAAUUGCCCCUGCACUAUGUGAAAUAGACCACUUAUACCCUCCGUUAUAUUUUACGAUAAAAAAUGCCCGGUGUUAUCCUAAGAGACCACAAUUACCCUUAAGACUUAACAGAAAUGAUGCGGCAAGCCACAUGACACUAAUUCCGCCACCUAGGCUUGCCAACUAGGAUACUCACUAAAUUUUUUGACCCAAUUAAUAAUUCAACCCUAACCCAUUUUUGUUGGACCCAACCCACUAAAAUUAAGAGGGAAACAUCAUCUUUUUUUCACCUCAUUCCGUUUUACUAUUAAAUUCACCAAGGACGAUUUUUUGAAGACUUUUACGAGCUUAGCUUACUUGGACCAUGAUUGUGUGCCGCCAUAGAUUUAAAAACUAUGCUCUGGCACCAUUCUAUGCUUAGAAAGCUUGGGCUUGUGUUUUAUGUGGCUUUCCAAAAAAAUUUUGAGAAGCUCCACUUUUGUGAUGAUUAUACCCCACAACCACAAGUUUCUACGUUUUUAGCUUGUCGUCUAGCGGAUUAGCACUACGACAAAUAUAGGAGGGUGAUUGAUAAAAUGUGAAUACAAGAUUAUAAACAUGUAGGGGCAUAUCAAUGUUGCAUCCAUUUGUCUCUUACAGUGAUGAAUUUCAAUGAUUUUGGUUAUAAAGUAUAACACCAUAGAACCAUAAAGUUAAAUUUUCAAGCUUAUGUAUCUUUUCUAGUCCAUUGUGUCAUUAGAUUUUAAAGCUAGCAUUCCUAAGGUAGAGAUGUAAGGUAAACAAAAUAUUUUGCAGGCAAGAGAAACAAAUUAUAUAAAAAUCUUUUGCUUCCCCUGCUUAUUUACAACUAAUUUAUCAAUGAGUUAUUACUUUAAUUUCUUCCCUGGUUUUUUAUAACUUCAUCAAUGUACAUAUAUAUAUAUAUACUUUUGCCUUCAUAAACUUUGGGAGGUUUACAACUCCUUAAAAAAACAGCAAAUUGUUGUACCUUCUCCUCGUUAAUACUGGGUUUGAAACAGAACAUGUGGACUGCAGAUGGAACGGUUAGUUCAACCUCAUGGCUACAACCAAGCUUGAAGUAUAUAGAAGGUUUUGUCCUUACGAUUUGGACAAUAUUCAAAACUUUCAAAAUCUUUCAUCAUGACAAAACAUUAAGGAGUGAGUACGUUCUGGUUGUUGGCAUGUGAUUAAGAGGUUAGUAUGGAUCGAGUUUUGAAAAUAGACUCUUACAAAAAAUACUAAUAAAAUUACAUAUAAUAGAUUCUUGUGAUCCAUCUCUUCUUUGGACUCCGCAUAUAACCGGAAUUUAGUACACAUGGUUAAUAAGUUAUUUAUUUUUUUAUUAUCUUUUUGCAUAAUUGAGAUGCCACUUUUGCUCAUUUUAUAUUCCCUGCUAGUAGAAUUUAAGAAGGUUUACAUGAUUUAUCCACUCUUACAAUCCUAUAUUUCAAGACCUGUAUUAUUUUUAUUGACUAAACAUGGAUAAUGAUAACUACUGUCAAUACUAUUAAAAAUGUUUUCCACGUUAGAGUUGUGGGUUCGAGAAUAGCAGGCUUUAAAUUUGGUAGUUGGAGAAAUGCAUUGCAAGUUAUUUAUAAUGUGGUUCUAUCGUCUACAUUGAGGUGUGAAUAAUUUUGCAAUAAAUUAUUCUAUCCGUUUAUUUUAACUUAUUACAUUUCGUUUUGAGAUUCAAACUAUAUGAAUUUGGAUCAAUAUUUUAAGAUGAAUAAUUUUGCAAUAAAUUAUUACAUCCGUUUAUUUCAACUUAUUACGUUUCAUUUUUUGAGAGUCAAACUAUAUGAACUUUGAUUAACAUUUUAAGAUGAAUAUUUUUGCAAUUAAUUAUUCUAUCCUUUUAUUUUAACUUAUUACGUUUCGUUUUUUGAGAGUUAAAUGAUAUAUAUAUGAACUUUGAGAUGUAUUUUUUCAUCAUAUUAAUAUGAGAAAGAUUGAUCAUAUAUAGUUUUUAAAUAUUUAAAUUUAAAAUUUAAAAUAUUGAGUGAAUUUUAUUCAAUUUGACUCUCAAAGUUAAUCAAAUUAACUCUCAUGAAACAUGACAAAUAAAUCCAUUUUCUUGGUUUUCCACCCGGUACUCACAUCCAAAUCGUUCCACGCAUAUUCAGAAUUAUGGAGUAUUAAAUGAAAUAUUUAGUUCAUGAACUAACUAGUACAAAUUUUUUAAAAUCACCUUAUCGAGCAUAUUAAAUGUAAAUAGUUAACGCAGUAAACUAACCUGUGAGAUUUUCAUAUUCUCAGCUUUGCAAGCCGUUUGGAAAGACUUAUUAGGGAACGGAGUCUUACAAGUAAUAGCAAUAUUGCCGAGAUCACCAAAUGCAUUGUGCUCGGUGUGAGAGGUUGCAUGAAAUUUCUUAGUCUAGCAUUUCUCAUUUGUAUAUCUUUUACGAUUCUAUCUAUUAAUGAUUUUUGUAUAUAUUUGAUUGACAUAUUUCUAUAUUUUCCAACCCAUAGGUAUUUGUAUAAUAUUUUAUAUUUAUGCAAAUCAUCAUAUAAGCAAGAAAUCCGAAUCAAAGAGUAAAUAUAUCAAAAUUUUCAAAAAGAUACCAUACAUACACCACAAAUAAGGUCUACUUUUUUCUAUUGAGAAUAAGAUUUUAAUUUUAUUACUCCAUUAAUUAAAGAUAAAUAAACAUAAAACAAAACAAAGAGAAAUACAGUAUUAAUUUGUUUUUACAAAUCACAAGCAAUUAACUUGAAACAGCAAUCAAACUUUUUCUCUUAUUAUUAGUAUUAUAAUACCAACAGGCAUCAGAAGAUUCUCUCCAACACAGACUUAAAUCAUUUUCAAAGGCAUCCCUGCAAUUUAUUAGAGAUGGAAUAUUUAGUUGAUGAACUAAAUACAAAUUUCAAAAAAUCAUGGAUAUUAAACGUAAAUAAUUAUUUAUAGUACCUGUGAGAUUUUUAUAUUCUCAACAUUGCAAGCCGUUCCGAGACCCUGAGACUAAUUGGGGAAUAAAUGAAUGGGCCUUGUACAAGUAAUAGCUUUUUCAAUUUAGGCAUACUCAUAUCAUCCAUGCACGUUACUUCAGACAACCCUUGUGCAUCCUCAAUAUGUAAAACUUCAAGUUGCGGAAAGCUAUCACCAGAGAGAUCCAUUUUUUCUGCAUCAUGUCUGCACCUAAGCAAUGUAAGUAUCCUUAAUUUGGGCAAUUUCUUAAGCACUGCCAAUAGAUGACCGUCUACCAUCAAGCCGACAAGAGUAAGCUUGACAAGAUUUGGAGGGAAUGCUUCAAUGUUCAAGAGCAUUGCUCUGGAACCAAACAAAACCAAUUUGACAAUAUUUGGAUGGGACGACAAGUUUAUUUGCUCACUCGUGUUCUUGAAAAUUCUGAGCUUCAGAACCUCCAACGCUUUAGGCACAGGGCUCAAUGCUGAUAAUAUCUUAAUGGUAGAACCGGAUACAUCCUUUAUACACAAUGUUCUUAAAUUUAUCAAUCGGUGCAACAAUCUCGGUUCACAAAAUUUAUCAUCCACCCACAUCAAAGUUUGUAGAUUAUUACGAGGCAAUGAGUACACGUUUGGAAAAAAUGGGUUUAUACAAAAGUAAUUGUAAGGUGCUAGAUUAUAACCUAUAGAACGAAGAUGUCUCAAUUGUGUAGACUUCCAAACACCAGUAGGAAGUUUAAUAAAGAAGCUUUUACCAAUAUCUAGGGUCUCUAGAUGUUUGAGCUUCACCAUACAAUUUGGCAGUUUCCCAUUGCACGAAGCUUCUCAAGCUUAGUAUUUGAACGGAAGAACUCAUUCAUGGCAUUAUUAUCAGAGUAGAAUGUAAUCCUUCGCACCCUAGCAACAUUGCUGGGAUCACCAAAUGCAUUGUGCUCGGUGUGAAAGAAGUUACUUUCCUUAGCCAAAUCCACACACAAACUAUGUAACAAGUCAUGUAUGCGACAACUUGAAAUUCUUCCAUCAUAUGUCCUUUCGACAACUUGAAUCAAGUUUCUAGAAACCAAAUCAUUUAGGAUAUCCUCUGCCAAACUUUCAGCCUCUCGCCUAUUACCACUAUAGUUUACAACUAUCAACUUCUCAGCAAUCCACAUAUUUGUCAGAUCAAAAGCACGAAUUUCAUGGUCCUCGGGGUAAAGGCCAAAAUACAAGAAACAUGGCCUUAAUGCAAUUGGCAAAUCAUUGUAACUCAGAGCCAAUACCUUAGCACAUCCAUCUUGAAUUUUAUGACCCAUACUCUCAAGUACUCUGUUCCAUGCACGUUCUGUUCUUUCUCUUGCCCUUAACAUGCCUGCGGUCACCUCAAUGGCUAGAGGUAUACCUCCACAUCUUCCAACUAUACUUCUACCAAUAUCUACCAAGUCUGGUGAAGCAUUGGCCCAAUUAUUAUUGUUAUCAAAAGUAAAGAUUUUCUUGGUAAAGAGUUCAAAACUGUUUUCCGAAUCUAGAGGUUGCAACACGUGUAUUGAGAAAUCCCCUCCUAUGUAUCUGCCUACAUUACUAUUUCGAGAGGUUAUAAUUAUCCUACUGCCAAUUUUUGAAUCACAUUCAGGAAGGACAAGUUUUAGAUCAUCCCAAAUUUCAACAUCCCAAAUGUCAUCUAAGAGAAUAACAUACCUUUUUAUUUUCAAGAGUGAUCGUAGGUUGUUCUCCAAGUUUUCUUUCCUUUCCUCUUCCAUCAGUCCAACUUGUUUGGCUAUGUCAUGUAAGAUUUCUCCCGCCCUUGGCUGUUGUGAAACAUAGACCAGUCCCGAACACUCAAAUUGAUCACGGACUUGCCUAUAAAGUUUCUUGGCAAGAGUUGUUUUUCCUAGACCGGGCAUGCCAACUAUUGAAACAACUCCAUAAGGCAAAUCAUGAUCAAGUAAUUUGGCUUGCAGCUUAUUGAAGUCAUCAUCCAAACCGAUGACCUCUGUUUCAUCAGCAUGAAGGAAUAAUCUUCUUUGGUCCAAUGGAAUGCAAUCAUCACUAUUGUUGUUACUUGUAUCCAUGAUGUUGUAAGUUGUCCUUACACGAUCAAUGUCAGCAACUCUUCUUUUUAUCUUCUCAAUCUCCAUAGCAAACUCAUCCGCAAAAGAAACCGUCUUAAGGCAACAAAUGAAAUUAUUGGAUUGUUGAAUUUUUGGAAGAAACUCAUCUAAUAGAUCCUCCACAUCACCUGCCAGUUGUUGAAUAUCUUUUAAUAAGUUUUUGACCCUUGAAUGGCCUCCAACUUCCUUGGCCUUUGCAUCGUCUACAUAUGAUCGAAUGUGUCUCAUUUCUCUGUGGAGCCAAUCUAUGUCCUCUUUUAACCAAUAUAAACGCGUUCCUUCUUGAAAGAGUACAUUUCCAGCUAUUUCUAUUGAUUUAUUGAUGACUGCUGUGAGAAGAAUUUCAGCCAUCUCUUUUUUCCUUAAAUUUCUUUUUUCUAAAUGUGAGGAUUAGCAAGGGAAAGUAAGAGAAAAUUAAAAGAUGAUCAAUUAUUGGUAAAAGGAUAAGAAAGAUGCAGUAUUUGCUUUAGGUGUUGGAGUCAACGGCCAAGUCUACUAAUAAUAAUGUCAAGUAGAUGAAAAAGAAAGAACAAAUGGACAGAAACAACUACUCCGUUCAUAUUAAAUACAAUAAUUCAUCUUUUCUUAAUCAUAUUAGCUGGUAUUUUGUUUUCAAGCAUGCAGGGGCGGACCCACCGUUACCCGAUGCCCUUCGUCGAAAAAUUACGAGGUCAAAUUUUGAUUUUAUAAAUAUAUAUAUAUAUACAAGUAUUAACACAUCUGGACACAAGUUAAAAGGUUUCGUGUAUUAAGGUGUUACGAAAGUUCCUUGAGGUAGUGUGUUUUUGUGCUAUUAGCCUCAAAUUAUAUUUUUUUAUUACAAUCAUUGACACCUUAAUGACAAUCUUUGGAUCCACGUUAAAAGUCAGACAAUUGAUGCAGUACUACGCGAAAAAUUCAAUGGCAAAGAUGAGUUCACACCGAAGCUUCUGGAAUCUCCUUCGUCCGAUUAUAUUUCAGUUCAUUAAAACAAGGGAUAAGGGCCUGAAAAAUAUUCCAACUUUGGUCGAAUUUGCUGUUACGAUACUAAACUUUCAUGAGGACCUAUUACCUCCCUAGACUAUUUAAUACCGUAUUUUAAACAUAUAUAUUUGCCCACGUGGACAUAAAAAAUAAUGCAAAAUUAUAAAUAGUAAUGUGUCCACGUGGACACAUAUAUACCUUUAAAAUACACUAUUAAAUAGUUCAGGGGGUAAAAAAUACGGUAUUAAAUAGUCUAGGGAGAUAAUAGGUCCUCAUAAAAGUUUAGUAUCGCAACAACAAAUCCGACCAAAGUUGGGGUAUUUUUCAGACCAUUGUCCCUUAAAACAAGGCAAAAAUACUCAUUACCCCCUUGAACUUGAAACUUUUUAUACGGUGUGCACCUAAACUAAAUUCCAUUUUAAUUAACUCCGAACUUGUUUAUUCCUCCAUCACGUACAUCUUUUUCGUCCACCUGCUCCUAUUGUGUAUUCCUCCAUUAUGUACACCUUUUUCGUCCACCCGGUCCUAUUGUGACUACACGCGCGCGACAGCUGGCAAAAGUGGUGAUGUGGAUUUCCACCUGGAUAUAUAAUAGCCACCUAGAUAAAUUAAUAUUGCAAAAAAUAAAUUUCCUAAAUUUAAAAUUCAUUGUUUAAAAGUUAUUUUUGAAUAAGGGUUGAUUUCGCGGAACUCCUUGAAUUUCAAAUUUGUCUGAAAUUCUUACCAAGUAAGUGUUAAUCUUUGUUUCCUUUACUUUUCAUUUACAUUUUCGUCGCGUACACCUUUUUUUUCCACUUACUCCUGUUGGGACUACACGCGCGCGACAGCUGUCUAAAUUGGUGAUGUGGAUUUCCACCUGGAUAAAUUAAUAUUACAAAAAAAAAUAUUCUUAAAUUUUAAAUUCAUCGUUUAAAAGUUAUUUUUGAAUAAGGGUUGAUUUCGCGGAACUCCUUGAAUUUCAAAUUUGUCUGAAAUUCUUACCAAGUAAGUGUUAAUCUUUGUUUCCUUUACUUUUCAUUUACAUUUUGCCCUAUUUUUCAUUUAAAAUAUGCCAAAUAUUAAACAAAAAUGGAGAUUUUACGUUGUUUUUUUUUACCGUUGUAGCUUUGUGAUGUGGCAAAAAAUCACUUCCUCACGCGCCUAGUAGAGUGUGUUGUCAAUUUCUACACCAGGUGGACGAAAAGGUGUACGCGACGGAGGAAUAAACAAGUUCGGGGGGGUAAUUAAAACGGAAUUUAGUUUAGGUGUACACCGUAUAAAAAGCUUCAAGUUCAGGGGGGGUAAUGAGUACUUUUGCCUUAAAACAAUUGUUAAAUCUUUAUUAUAUAUUUCAUUUUCAAACAAGAAUAAAGAAUUUUUAGAGUCGUCAGCCGAUUGAAGCAGUAUAUGAUUAUCCCACUAGAAUAUAUAUAUAUAUACGUGGCACUAUCUUGUGGGCCUAGCGCGUGUUGACAAUUUUUUCAAGGAUAGUGCCACGUAGGCCGAAAAGGGGUAGAAAAUUAUAUAUAAAAUAAAUUCAAGGGGGUAAUAGGACCUUAGUAAAAGUUAGGUGUGUCUCAGAGAUUUUGGGCAUAGAAUGGGGGUACUUAUGCAUUUUCCCUAUAUAUAUCACCAAAGAUCGACGACCUUGGCUAUAUUUAUAUUGGAAAAAUGUUAGAAAAUAUUUUAUAUAAAAUAUAACAUAUUGUUUAUAUAUAAAUAUAUUUGCAUACUAAGAUUGUUCGGUUCGAAAGGUUUUUGAUUUUAUUUUAAAAAUUAAAAAGUUCAUCCCAAUUGUUUGGCACAGUACACACUUAAACAAAAAUCCACGAUUUUAUUAAAUAUUUAUAUAAUAAAUCGGUUUGAUUCGAUUGCUUCAGUCGAUUUUUCAUGUUCUUAUGACACCCCUACAUACAAUCAUAUAUAUCAUACAAUCAUAUAUAUCGCACUUACCUAUUACUGAAAUGACUACUUUUUUAUUACUUCCUUUAAUACAUUUGCAAAAUCAAACCCAAGUGUAUGUAUCAUUGGCUCAUUACUAAUUGUCCACCAUUCUAUGCUACAUGAUUAACACAAUGUAUCACUUUUCUAUCUGUGUUCGUACUUCGUAGUUUGCACCAUGAACACAUAAAUCACAUAGGGAUAUUGAAAAUAUUGUCCACUGCCAGAGAUAUUUCGCUGCAUUGUACUUUUCAAAGAGCUGCUUCCCUAUUCCAAAAAGAGAAUAAGAGAUUAAACAUUUCGAAAUAGAAAGCACUAAACCAAUAAAAAUCCAUAGCCACAUUUAAAAAAUUACUAUGGAGAACAUGUGUGUGAGAGAGAGAAAGCAAGACUGUUUUACUCGAAAAUAUAAAAGAAAAAGAAAAAAUGACUGAGUUUCGAAAAAUCGAUCAAACUUAUGAUUUAAGAGAAAUCGAAUUUCCAAAAGAACAGAGUCGCCACUAAAUUUUUAAUAAAAAUCAAGAAAAAACUUAAGGUUUUCAAAAGACUCAAACAGAUAAAAUCAAUCGAAAAAGGGUUCGAGUUCAAUGUACAUUCCGAGAAGGUGUUAGGACCCUCGAAAUGCCCGCUAACUUGCGGUUGACCGGCGAUUUGACUAAAAAUGAUUUUGACUAAUUUUAAAAUUUUAACUAAGUAAAAGAACUCAUAACGACUUUGACUAAUUUUGAAAUUUUAACUAAGUAAAAGAACUCAUUUACUUUAACUUAUUUUUAAAAAUUUUAACUAAGUAAAUGAACUCAUUUAUUUUAACUUAUUUAUUUAUUACUAUUAUUAUUUUCAUCACUUUAUUUUUAUUAAUGUCAUUUAAUUAUCUUAAGGGGAAAUGAACCAAGGGAUAAUUUUUCUAAAGGGGAAUAAUUUAAGUGACGAGACAAAUAAUAAAGUAAGAGCUAAGUAAUAAAAUAUAUAUACUUUAAUUUGGAAAAUAACAUGAAAUCGCCGUCUUUGGGAAUUUAAUUAAAUUAAACCAUAAGAUAAUCAAGGUUAGUCAAACAAUACAAUAUAAAUAAAGACACAGUAACAUUCUUUUGUGUAACAAAGAUGUCUCAAUUUUUUAGACUCCCAAACACCAAAAGGAAGUUUACUAUAGCUAUGAAAUAUAUCCAGGGUCUCUAGACAUUUGAGCUUGACAAUACUAUUUGGCAAUUUUACUCUAAUUCUCCCCUCCAAUCGCACAUAGCGUAGGCAACUCAUGUUCCCAAUUUUGUUUGGGAUAGUAAUUACAUGCUGAUAACGAUCUCGAGACGUGACUACAACCAACACUUGCAAUAAUUUGAAACUAAGGUGAGCCAUAUGAGAAAAUAGGCAACUGUUAUUGUUGAAACAGAAAAGUGCACGAAGCUUCGUAGGUUUAGGAUUUGAACGGAAGAACUCAUUCAUGGCAUUAUUAUCAGAGUAGAAUGUAAUCCUUCGCACCCUAGCAACAUUGCUGGGAUCACCAAAUGCAUUGUGCUCGGUGUGAAAGAAGUUACUUUCCUUAGCCAAAUCCACACACAAACUAUGUAACAAGUCAUGUAUGCGACAACUUGAAAUUCUUCCAUCAUAUGUCCUUUUGGCAACUUGAAUCAAGUUUCUUGAAACCAAAUCAUUUAGGAAAUCCUCCGCCAAAUUUUCAGCUUCUCGCAUAUUGCCACUAUUUACAACUAUCAACUUCUCAGCAAUCCACAUAUUUGUCAAAUCAAAAGCACGAAUUUCAUGGUCCUCGGGGAAAAGACCAAAGUACAAGAAACAUGGCCUUAAUGCAAUGGGCAAAUCAUUGUAACUCAGAGCCAAUACCUUAGCACAUCCAUCUUGAACUUUAUGGCUCAUACUCUCAAGUAACCUGUUCCAUGCACGUUCUGUUCUUUCUCUUGCCCUUAACAUGCCUGCAGUCACCACAAUGGCUAGUGGUAUACCACCACAUCUACCAACUAUACUUCUACCAAUAUUUACCAAGUCAACUGAAUGAUUAUUAUCAAAAGUAAAGAUUUUCUUGGUAAAGAGUUUAAAACUAUUCUCUGAAUCUAGAGGUUGCAAUACGUGGAUUGAGAAAUCCCCUCCUAUGUAUCUGCCUACAUUACUAUUUCGAGAGGUUAUAAUUAUCCUACUGCCAAUUUUUGAAUCACAUUCAGGAAGAAGAACAAGUUUUAGAUCAUCCCAAAUUUCAACAUUCCAAAUGUCAUCUAAGAGGAUAACAUACCUUUUUCUUUUCAAGAGUGAUCUUAGGUUGCCUUCCAAGUUAUCUUUCCUUUCUUCUUUCGUCAGUCCAACUUGUUUGGCUAUGUCAAGCAAGAUUUCUCCCGCCCUUGGCUUCUGUGAAACAUAGACCAAAUAAAGUUAAGUGACUGUCUAAGAUAAUUAUUCCUAGUUGAGUGAUUUUCUAAGAUAACUACACAUAUGUAAUGACCCUCUUGGUCAUUUUCUUGUUUUGCCUUCUGUGUGUCGUUUAGAGCAUUUCUAUAGCGACCCCAAGUCAUUUAUGGCUUGCUGGGACUGACAGUUCGGUCACCUGGUCGUUCGUUUGGUCAUAAUUUGAGUUUUAGUGUUUUGGAGCUUAUGAACUUUAAACGAUCAUUUUCGAUCAAAAGUUCAAGAAGAUGACAUCGGAAUCCAAUUCUGACGAUUCCAUCAGCUCCGGAAGGGUCAUUUUAGGCUAGAAGCAUGGUCGGCAUGACUCCCGAGGUUUUCAGUGUGAGUUGGUGCGAUUAGGCGUUUUAACCUUUGAAAUUUGGCUUAGGGUUGACUUUGGUCAACAUUCUUGGAAAACGAGCUCGGAUGGAAAUUCCGUCAGCGUGGUUAGCUCCGGAAUGUCGAGUUUGGUCUAGAUUGACCCUUCUUUGUGUCUGGAGGUUUUCGAUAUCUUUCCGAGCCUUUUUUGUGGGUUUUGACUUAAAUGGCUUUUGGAAGUGGUACCCACUUUUUAUCGAAAUGACCUCUGAUGGAAAUUUCGACUGCGCCGUUGAGUCUGGAAUAUCGAAUUUGGUAUGGUUGCAUAUCUCGUUUGCGUGCACGGGGUUCCGAACGAGAUCGGAGUACCCCGUCGGAAUUUUAAGUUUGGAAGUGUUGCAGAUUUUCUGCAAUUUAUUGCAGAAAAUCAGCAACAUUUCCCAAAUUCCAAACCCUCACAACUCUCUCAUCACUCAACCGAUUUGGGUGAUUCAAAAGGCAAAGUUGUGAGAUUUUUUCGAGGGCAACAUGUUGGUGAGCUUGGAUAGUGAUUUGGAGUCCCCGUUUGAGGUAAUUUUCGAAAAAAUACCUGCUGCCAGACCUCUUUUUGUGAGUUUGAUUUUGGAAAUUUUGAGACUUGUUUUCUUAGCCAUUGUAGAUCCGAUUUUGGUGAUUUUUGAGGUAAUCUUGAGUGGUUUUUCGAGGAGAACGUUGUGGUGUUGUUAGAUUUUACUGUAGACUGCUCGUUUUUGGUAAAUACACUGCUGUCCCAUUUCUAUCUUUGAGAAAAUUUGGGUUUUGGUUGUAUGUUGGUAGUGUGUUGUUCCCGAGCCCCGAAUUGUGUCCCAUUUUGGGAUAUGAACUGGGGGAAAACUGGUUAGGACCCACUUUUGGGGUUAAUUUCAGAAUUUCCAGCGCGGGUCCCACGAUUCCCGUUUUGACUCCAAAAUUGACCCGUCUCCGUUUGUUGUGAUUUUAGUGUCUAAACGAAUGUAAUAACGUUGUGAUUCUAUUUUUGAUAGCGGGGAAGCGUUUUGAGGACGUUCGGAAAGGGAAAGCUCCGGAGAAGUGAUUUUGGAGCGCGUGUGAUUGGCCUACAGGUAGGCUACGGUUUGGUAACUGUGAGCAUGCUUUGUGUUAUUAACGGACCCUCCUCGCUAUGUGGAGUACUUGCAUGCUUAAUUACUGUUUAUUUGAAGCAUGUUGGACCUUAGCUUAGGUUUGACUAGGGCUUGCCUUAGAAAUACAUGAUUCGGAUUCGAUAGGCCUUAGUUUUACCCCGAUGUCGCUCGGCUGACUUAGAUCCCUGUAGACUGAUAUAGCAGACUUGAGUCUGAUAGUUUGGGCCUUAUCUAGGCGAUACGCUUUUUCCGAUAAUAGUUAUCCUUAUUUUCUCCGAUACUGCGGCUUCACGAGUUGCAUCGGCAAUACUAGUUCUACUUCGCGAUUUGAAUUAGAUUUUCGAUUUGGUUCCAAGGACUUUCAUUGAUUGGCUAUGUGUGGACGACAUUUCACGGACAUUUAUAAGUACGGAUCGAUUGAGACUCCUUCAGAAGUUACAUUGGCAAAAUCAUAGAGCAUCCGGUUCGAGGUCCGGCCUCUAUUGCGUCAGAUUCUACUAAUUAGGGUUGAGGUUCUGGUUCGAUGUUCUUCGUUCAUGGGUUCUUUUAUGCAAUUCUCUUUAGUUAUAGUUAUUCUGUGUACUCGUCGGGCUUAUGGGGGUCCGUUCGGGUUUUAUAUACUUAAUACUGGUGAUUAGUUACUUGGGUACUUAUAUGGAGCAUCCGGUUCGAGGUCCGGCCUCCGUACUGUCAGAUUUUACUAAUUGGGGUUGAGGUUCUGGUUCGUGUUCUUCGUUCAUGGGUUCUUUUAUGCAAUUCUCUUUAGUUAUAGUUAUUCUGUGUACUCGUCGGGCUUAUGGGGGUCCGUUCGGGUUUUUAUUUAACUUGCGCACGAGUGUACCUUCUGGGCUUAUGGGGGUCCAGUUAGGUGUAGUUAGCUUGUAGAUUACUCUAGUUAGUUCUUUAUACACUCGUGUGCAUUUCAUUGUUAGUUAGAUUUUAGUUCUUGACUUCGGUUUGUGUUAUUCCUUCUUUUCAUACUGCCUUUACUUUUCAAGUUCAGUCGGCCUAUGAUGCCUACUGGGUACCUGUUGUUUUGGUACUCAUGCUACGCUCUGCAUCUAUUUCGUGAUGCAGGUCCGGGCACUAGAAGCCAGCGUUGAUCGAGCUUGGAGCAGACUGAUCCGGAGACGGGAGUGAGCACACGACGUUUUGUACUAUUUCAGUCUCCAUCUGUAUAUAUAGACUUGUCUUUUACCUUUCGAGACAGUCCAGUCUCUGUUGUCCACUUUUGGGACUUGUACUCAUUUUGUUAGUAGCUCUGUACUAGUGACUUCCAGGUUCUGGGAGGGAUCUUUAUUUGUAUAUAUGUUUUUGGUUUGCUUCCGCCUGUUUAUAUUGUUAUUUGCCUACUCUUGUUUAGUUUCUACCCUCAGACCCAUUACUUGUUGUUCCGGUUUACGGGUUGGCUUACCUACUGGUGGGUAGUAGGUGCCAUCAUGACUUGAGAAAUUGGGUCGUGACAAGUUGGUAUCAGAGCCCCAGGUUUAUCGGUCUCACUUGUACAGAGCUAACGUCUAGUAGAGUCCUGCAUAUCGGUGCGGAGACGUCCGUAAGUAUAGUUGAGUGACUUUUGAUUUACAAAAUAAAGUCAAGUGACUUUCUGAGAAAACUAUCAAUAGUUGAGUGACUUUUGAGAAAGAUAUUCAUAGUUGAGUGACCAUUUGAGAUAUUAUCUCAAAAGGCUUUUAUUUAGAUUAAUUUCUUAGUAAAAGAUAAGGCAAGAAGGAACUACAAAUUUUAAAGUACAACUUUUGAUAAGUUAUUCUUUUUUUAAAAACCUAACAAAAUAUUAUUUAUAGUGAACAAAUCAUCUGACAAUAAACCAAGUCAAUUCUUCAUAAUACCCAAGUCUUAUUAACUUCACCGAGUGUUAAUCUGAUAACAAUAUCAAUAAGUUAAUUUUGUGGUUGAGUUAUGGUAUACGUUUCAAUCUUGAACCGUAUUCUUAUUUUCUUAAAGAAUCAUAUUCUUAUUUUUUUCCCUAAUAACUUUAAUUAAUAAAUAAGUAGAAAGAACUAUUUUUUUCUUCUUAAUAUCAUUUUAUCAACGGAAAAGGGUCAAAAUUGCCCCUGAACUAUGUGAAAUAGACCACUUAUACCCUUCGUUACAUUUUGGGAUCAAAAUUGCCCCUGCUGUUAUCCUAAGAGACCACAAAUACCCUCAAGAGUUAACACCCCAAAUUUUUAAUUGACGUGGCAAGUUACAUGGGACUAAUUCUUCCACCUAAGUGUUGCCAAUUAGGAUUCACUAAAAAAGAACUAGACCUUUAGCAGCGACAACAGUCGCCACAAAAGCCCAGAAAAUCGUCACUAAAAGUUUUUAACAUUAAAUUCUAAUUUUGUGUUUUUUUCUUCAUUGUUUUUAAAAAAUUAAAAUAUCGAUUAAGUAGGAGUUUUAAGACACUAUAUGUUUUAUUUUUAUGUCAUAUGUAAAUGUAUAAAAUGUACAAUGAUGCAUUAUUAUAUAGUAGGAGAUUUAAAUCGAGAAGUAAUUUUGAUGAUUUUUCGUAAUAAUAUUGGAUGUUUUUUAAUAUUGAUAUUGCAAGUUAUUUAUUUUAGAAAAUUAGGUUGCAAUAUAAAAUUAAUUAUCAUAUUUUUUUUGUUGAAAAAAUAGGUUUUAUUAGUGAAUGGUUGUUGGAGCUUUAGUCGCCACUAAAAAUCACUCAUAACCUUUAGUGGCAAUAUUUUGAGAUUUUGUGGCGACUUUCUCGCCACUAAAGGUCAAGUUCUUUUAUAGUGAAUCUUAGUUGGCAAUGCUUAGGUGGAGGGAUUAGUCCCAAGUGGCUUGCCACAUCACUAAUAAUUUGGGGUGUUAACUCUUAAGGGUAUUUGUGGUCUCCUGGGAUAACGACGAGGGUAUUUUUGAUCCCAAAAUGUAAUGAAGGGUAUAAAUAGUCUAUUUCACAUAGUUUAGAGGCAAUUUUGACCCUUUUUCAUUUUAUCAAUUAAAAUAGAAUAAAUGUACAUAUCUUUUUAAUUGAUAAUAUUGGUCAUACAUAUAGGAGCAUAGUAAUUAUACAAUUUGUUUACUACUAGUUCUAACUAUUUUGUAUUAAUCAAAUAUAACUUAAAGCUAAAAAGAAAAGUACCUGAUAGGUUGGAAUUUAGCUGAUGCAGUUCCUUGAUUGGAGUAAAUAUUAAUUAUAAGUGUUUUUUUCAAAAGAUGGAAAUUGACAAAUUAACCAAUAACUUCAAUUCUAUUUAUAAGUAUAUUUUUUAUAAAAAAAUAAAUAAAUUAGUUCAAUACUUGACUUGAAUGUGAGGGUAAGAUGGGCCAUAAUUUCCAAUUUAUUCUUUACUUAAACCAUAUAUAGGCAUCUUACCUUUUUUCUCAUGAAAAAGUAAAAGGAAAGUAUAAUGUUGGAGAAUUAAAAAAAGAUAAUCAUAUUUUCACUUUUGUCUGGAUGUAAAUGUUACAAAAGAAAUAAAUGAAUAUUUCAAACGGAAGUAUUUCUCGUGAAGAACUCUUUUUUCACUUUAGUUGUAAUUAUUCCAUCGGUAGUUUUGUUACAUAUUAGUUGAUCAUUUUAUUAAAAAUAUAUAGUUGUUCAUCUUUCUAAAUGAAGAAAGCAUUAAUUUUUUUUCCUAUAUUAUCCAUGCAAUUAAUUAUUUUUUAUAGUGUUCACAUUUGUUUAUUAAAUUUUCAAGAAUUUUUUUAAAGAAUGAAUUAAUAAAAUUAACUUCUUAUUUAUGAUACUUAGUAUGCUUGUAAAAAGGAAAAUGAUCAACUGAUAUCGGGAGAGUACCAGAGGCGUAUGUACAUGAAGGGGAGUGGGUUCACAUGCACCCAUCCUCCCCUUCCUAACCCCUAUAUAAUACUACUAUUUUCUAAUUAUCUUUUCAAAUUUGUAUUGGUGAACCCAAGGUUAAAAAGAAUACUCUAGUAUAUUGAUAAGUAUGUACAAAUAGAGGGUGCAUAACUUAUAGAUUUGUGGUUCAAAUUUUUAUAUCCACAUUAAUAUUUUUAAUUUUUAAUUAAUAUAACAAAAUGUGCCACUUUUCAUAGAUCUUUUUAAUAAUUUAUAAAUAAAAAGAGGUCCAAAUACCCAUAUUUUUAGGUUGCAUUAGCUAUGUCUAGACCUUAAGCUAGAAAUGUCAAUAAAGUCAAAUUAUAUUUUUACUUUCUUUUUCUCCUUUCCUUCUUUAGACGUUUUUCUUAUUUAUUUAUUUUAACUUUUUCUUUUGACUUUUCAAAGUCCUAAUCUGAAAGGUAAAAAAGAGUAAAGACAUCAUAUUGUUCUUCUUUUGGCUUCAUUCCACUUUGUUGUUCAUGGUGAAGUAGAAGUGGGAUUUGAGAACAAGUAACAAGGUAUGCUAUCUAAAAAUAAAUAAAUUAUUUAUUAAUGUACUUCAUUUGUUUUAUAUGUUUUUCUUGAUUUAUGAAGUGGUGCCAUUAUUUGAUUGCUUGAAUAAUUAAAUUUAUAAGAAUUUCUUGAUUUCUAAAUAGUUAUCUAAGAAUUGUGAUUCUUUUAUUAGUAAACUUGUUAUUUGUGUUAAUAUUUUUUAAAAAUUAUUUUGUUUUGAUAAGAUUGAAUAGAAGUGUGAAUAUUUAAUUUUGUAGGUAAAAUAAUUCUUACAUUCAAAUCAUCAAAUCACAAAUGGAUAAGUUUCUCAUCAAGUUACCAAAGCCUAAAGAUGGCCAACCAAGUUCUAGCUCUAAUAAACCAUUUGUGAGUUCACAAGUUGCUCCGGAAGUUCAAAGACAUAUAAAUUCUUUUCCACUUUUAAAUACGGAUAAUAUGCUUGAUUUUAAAUCUCUUGAAGCAGAUCCCAAAGACCGAAUGCCUAUUUCAUCUUAUGGUCCUAAUAUUCGAGAUGCGGUAAGGAGGUAUUACAUUCAAAAAAAGCCAUGUCAACUUGUUGAUCAUAUCUUCCCUAAAACUAAGUUUGGAGAUAAAAUGCGUCAAUUUCGACCAACUUGGUUUAAGAGAAGAUCUCAAUGGUUGGAAUAUAGCAUUAAAGCAGACGCGGCAUUUUGUUUGUGUUGUUAUUUGUUCAAGAUUGAACUUGAAAGACUGUCGGAGAUUCAUUUACAAGAGCUGGUUUUAGGUGUUGGAACAAAGCUUUAGAAAGAUUCAAAAACAUGUUGGUAAGGUAAAUAGUAUCCAUCAUAAAUGUUUCAAUAGGAUGCAAGAUUUGAUAAACCAACGACAAUUGAUCCAAUCUUCUUUUGACAAGCAAAGUGAAAAGGCAAGAAGUGAUUAUCGGAUGCGUUUAAAUGCCUCAAUUGAUGUAGCAAGAUUUCUUUUGACAUCGGGAUUUCCAUUUCGUGGACAUGAUGAAAGUGAAGGUUCUGAAUAUAAGGGUGCUUUUCUUGAACUUUUGAAAUGGUAUGGGAAUAGAAGUUUUGAUGUGGGAAGAGUAAUAUUAGGUAAUGCUCCACAAAAUGAUAUGAUGAUUUGUCCGACAAUUCAAAAAGAUAAUGUGGAGGCUUGUGCUAAAGAAACAACUAAGGCUAUCAUUGAAGACUUGGACGGUGACUAUUUUGCAAUAUUAGUUGAUGAAUCAAAUGAUGUUUCUCAUAAGGAGCAAAUGGCUCUAAUUUUGAGAUAUGUCAACAAAAGUGGAAUGGUGAUAGAGUGAUUCUUGGGUAUUGUCCACGUAAAUGAUACAUAUUCUCAAUCAUUUAAAAAGACAAUUUAUUCUUUGCUUUUGGAUCACUCAUUAUGUACAUCCAAAAUACGUGGUCAAGGUUAUGAUGGGGCUAGUAAUAUGCAAGGGAAAAUAUGUAACAACCCAGAAAAAAUUUAAGCUAAGACUUGAACUAUUCUUCGUUGUGAGUAGGGUUUUUUCGAGGAAUUAAAAUUUCUUAAGUGUUAAGGUCACUAGAUGUAGCACCUUGAGUUCGAGAAGGAAUUAAAUUGGAAAUAGUAAAAUCUGAAAUUUUGCAAGUUAUGAUUAAGUAUGAGUUUUGGGUCGACUUAAAACGACUAUAACUCCUAGCUCAGGAUGAGUUAGGUGUAGAUAAUUUUAUUGUCUAUGCUCAAAAGUGUGAUAGCAAGUUUCUCAACUUGAAGGGAAUCAAGCAUCUUAGCGAAGAUCUUUGAAUUAUAUUUCCAACGCCACCAAAUUUGCUAAGUUUCGAGUUCGAAAGAGUGAGAUAUGACCUUUUGAAGUUAGGCUGUCCAGUUAAGGAAAGUCAAAAUCGGAUUUUAGAGGGGUAUUUUGGUCUUUUCCAUACCCAAUCAGAUUUAAUUCGUUUUUAGUAAUAUUUUAAGGGUAUAAUCUGAUUAGGUUCAGUUUAAUAAUCCUAGUUUACGCCUAGGGUUUUAGUUGAGAUUUCAAGAAGAGAAAAGAAGAAAAGAGAAGAAGAGAAAAGAGAAAGGAUGAAGGCGUUUGUCGACGUUCUUGAGAGUUGUUGCGGAUUGUCUUAUUGAUAUGAAAACUCGUCGAGGACAAUUGUAAGUGAAUGAUGGAUGAAGAUCUUUUGAAUGGUUGUUUAGUUUGCUAUAUAGAGCGUAGUAUAUUUAAAAAUGUAAGUAAUGAUGCCAUUAUUGAUAUGAAAACUCGUCGAGGACAAUUGUAAGUGAAUGAUGUUUUUUGCUAAUAUAUUACUAUAUAAAGAUUGCUACUACCUACUUUCUCGUCAACUUGUUCUCACCGUAAAAUUUAUAUAAUUGAAUUAAUUGUCUAUUUUGAAGAUAAUGGUGCCCCCAUGUUCUUGAGAUCCUGGAUACGCCUUUGACUCCAAGGCCUGUAUCUAUUUAACAAUAAAUUGCAGGGACAUAUUCCAGAGACGAUAUGCCAUUUAUCUAAUUUGGUUGAAUUAUAUCUGUAUGGUAAUAAGCUCUCUGGGUUAAUUCCAGAAUGCUACAACUGCUUUCUUUGCAUUCUAACAAAUUAUCUUUAAACUUUCCGUUGAGCCUUUGGAAGAUGAGUAGUCUUCUCUAUCUAAGUGUGUCACAGAAUUCAAUAGAGGGAGAAGUUCCAUCAGAUAUUGGAGGACUGAAAGCCAUUGUAGAACUAUAUCUUUACAGUAACCACUUUUCAGGAAUGAUACCAAGCACAUUCGGGGAACUCCAAAACCUGCAGUAUCUUGAUCUGUCCAACAAUUCUUUUUUUGGCCAAAUUCCAUUAUCCUUUGCCAACUUGAUAAGCUUAGAUUACUUGAAUUUGUCUUUAAAUGCCUUGUCCGGUACUAUUCCUAAGUCUUUGGAAAAACUCGCAUACCUUAAAAGCAUUAAUGUUUCAUUUAAUGAUUUAGAAGGUGAAAUACCGAGUGGAGUGUUUGAAAAUUCCACUUUGCAAUCAUUUCUCGGGAACAAAGGUCUUUGCGGAAUGCACAUAUUGGAGAUUCCUGCUUGUGCUAUCACUAAUCCCAGAAAACAAUCAAAGCUUAAGGAGGUUGUGCUAAAAAUUGUUACUCCAGUGGUUAUUGCAUCCUUUCUGAUAUUCUUGUUCGUUUCAAUUUGGAUAAUGAAACGACAGAGAAAGGGAUGUCCAAAGAUGUUGAAAAGGUAUUGGAGAUCGGGACUCAUCAAUUAAUUUCUUAUCAUGAGAUUCAACGAGUAACAAAUAAUUUUGAUGAAUCCAAUUUAAUAGGUGAGGGAAGCUCUGGCUCUGUGUACAAAGGAACAUUGUUUGGUGGAACUGCAGUGGCCAUUAAGGUUCUCGAUUUGGAAAAUGAGCAAGUAUGCAAGAGGUUUGAUACCGAAUGCGAAGUGAUGAGAAAUGUUAGACACAUAAAUCUUGUUUCAGUGAUUACUACAUGUUCUAAUGACUAUAUAAGAGCCUUUGUUCUGCAAUUUAUGCCCAAUGGAAGUCUUGAGAAUUGGCUGUACAAAGAAGAUCGCCACUUGAACCUUCAUCAAAGAGUCACUGUAAUGCUUGAUGCAGCUAUGGCAGUUGAAUAUCUACUUCAUGCAGGGGCAUAUAUAGGAGGGGGUCACCGGGUUCACGUGAACCCAUGGUUCCCUCCGAAAAUCAUAUAUAGUAGUGUUAUAUUUUUUUAAAAUAUUUAAAUAUAGAUGCGUGAACCCAGACUCGAAGUAUCAUAUAAUGUAGUACGAUGAUGAUUGGGUGCACCUCUCUAGGUGAGGUUAAAAAUUUGAAUCUUUUAUCUAUCUUGUUUUAGUUUUCUUUCUAAGAUUUUGUAACUGGUUUGGAUCAAUAAAAGUUAAUUUUGGACCUAUGAUUUUAAAAUUUUAAUGGUUUUCAGUAAAAAGAAUAUAACUGAUCAAAUUUAUGUCUUAGAUCCACCUUAUUGUAAUAGUGCACCCAUUAUCUAUAAAUCCUGAAUACGCCUCUGACUUCAUGGUCAUGUCGCUCCAAUAGUUCAUUGCGACUUAAAGCCAGCAAACGUUCUUUUGGAUGAGGAUAUGGUCGCUCAUGUUGGUGAUUUUGGAAUCUCUAAGAUUUUAGCUGUCAGCAAGUCCAUGGCACAUACAGAGACAUUGGGGCACUCUUGGAUACAUUGCACCAGGUAUAAAAAGCCUACUCUCAUUGAUUUUCUCUUAUCAUAAUUAUAUUUCAAUUGAGUAACUUUUGUGCAAUCCUUUUCUACGAAUAUGGCUCGGAGGGAAUAGUGUCCACUAGUGGUGAUGUUUAUAGCUAUGGCAUCAUGUAGAUGGAGGUUUUGACGAAAAGAAGGCCAACAGAGGAAGAGAUAUGCAAUGGAAAUCUCGACUUGAGAAAAUGGAUUACACAAUCAUUUUCAGGGAGUAUGAUGGACGUUGUGGAUGCCAAUCUUUUUUGUGAGGAAGAACAAACCACUAGUAAAAGUGAAAUGUGCAUAGCCUCCAUGAUAGAAUUGGCUUUAGAUUGCACAAAGGAAGCGCCACAAUCAAGAGUGACCAUGAAAGAAGUAGUGAAGAGGCUUAACAAAAUCAAGAAUGCAUUUCUAGAAACAUAGAAUUGCAAAUUAAUAUGAUGCUUUUUGUUGUUUAAUAAAGUUGUCGUAUAGUACUACUUGAAUUCAUGUAUUGUUUGUAAUUUCAUUUGAGUGAUUAUGUUUUGAAUGCUUGAAAGAAAUCAGAAAUAAAGGUGUUUAGCUGCACGAUUUUGUUUUUUGAAUGUGAUGAAACAAUUAGUGAAUUGAGCACUUUUGAUUUCCUUGUACUAAUUAAUUACUGUAAACAAUUAGGGAAUUGAGCACUUUUCAUUUUCUUGUACUAAUUAAUUACUGACUUCUUUGGACUUUACCUGCACAAGUAUUCCAACAAGCCUAUCUUAACACCAGAGAGUUCCAAAAGAAAAAUUGGUAACCUGAGCCAGCUUCCAAUUUUGUCCUUGGUCGAUAAUCAUUCCCGAAACACUGUUGUCCCUAUCUGAGCCAGCUUCCAUUUUUUCACAAACAGUGUAACAUUUAUAUAAGCGAGCAAUAAACAUCUCUAUUAUAACCUUAGUAAGCUCAGUAUGAGUAUUAUGGUUGAGUUUCAAGCGAAAACAAGUUUAGCAAAAAAGACGAGAAAUAAUGGUAAAAAACACUUUUGAAGUAUCAUUUUUUUAGCGAGUUUCAUGCCUGAAAGGUUUUUUAAUUUCCUGCUUGAACUGCCACCAACUAUUUAUUAGAACAUACCUCUCGAAUUCUAUAUUUAUAUUAAAUGGUUAAGCAACAUACAAUUUUUUCCAAACUUGUCUUAGACUGCAUGACCUCUCAUUGACUUGGUUCUGGACCAUAUAAUAAAUAAUGCAACUUAUUUAAUUAAAAAAAAAUAUGAUUUUAAUAAUACAAGUUGACUGACUUUUCUCAAUCAAUUCCCUUACCCCUCAGUAUACGCAUAAUUGACCUGUCUUCUUGUGGUUUUGUCUUUAUAAAGUUGGCCUAUGUAAUAUUCCUCAAUGAGAUGACAUUUCAAUAACGUGUAAUAAUACAUCACAGAAAAGUUUGUGGAAAUCACAACCAUAUCUAUAAAAUGAUUUGACUUUAAAUAUUUCAUUCAAUAUGAAUUUUAUAGUUUAGGUAUGAAACUUGCAAAACAAAAAUAGUUCAGUGGUUUAUUAACCUAUUCAAUCUUAAACGAAUGCUAUGAUCACUUUAUCUUUCAGUUACAUAUUACACAUAAAAGUUGUUCAAGAAUAUUAUAUAUUCACAACAAUUAUUAAUUAUAGUGAAUGAAAAAAUAUAUUAUGUAUGAUUUCAGAUUCACUGUUAUGUAAUCGAAAUGCACAAACAAGUUUCUAGGGGAAGAUUUACCAUAAUUAUAACGAUGAACAGGCCGUAGAUAAAUUACUUUCUGGGUAAGCAUUGUGCAUGUAGCUAGUUACGACCCGAUUUCGAAGACUAAGGUUUCGAAGCCAUUUUCGCAACUUUGGCAAAUUUUAGUUAGGUUUUGGAAAAAUUUAUAAUUUGGAAGUCGCCAUUUAAUUUUUUAGGAAAAAUUAAGAAAGCCAUUUAAAAGUGGGUUUUAUGAAAGAAAACAUUUCAACAAAACUAGAGUCGGGAAAGGGUUCAAGUAAUUCUCUAAGGAAGGGUUUAGGCAUCUUAAAGAAUCUGCUAACACUUGAUUGACCGAUGGAUUUAAAAGUUGGCUAAUUUUUUUUAAAGAUAACUUAUUACUUGUGAAAAUCUUGUUGAGAAUAACAAAAGCCUUUUGAUACUUAUACACUAAUCUUAUUCCAAGUAAUGAAAUAAGUCAAAUGCUAAAGUGUCAAAAUAAUAAUUUUAAAUUUAACAUUUUAUCCGAGUUAAGAUUUUGAACUAAAUGGUUAGCUCAAUCUCACCAACGUGGAUUCAAAGCUAAUUGCUAACUAUGAAAGAAUAUGGAAAAAUCUCAAGUUAGUCUAAGAGCUUAAGUUGCCUAACUUGAAAGAGUUUUGAAAAUUUAAAUACUUAAAGUAGACAACUAACGAAAUAGAAGAGCCAUUAAAAAACUCCCAAGGAUUCAUCUAAGUUAGAUAUAAGAAGAAAAUGUUAGCAUUUCUAAAAUAAGAACAGAAACAAGAUAACACAAAUAAAUAACAAGAAUCUAGGCUCUUGGCCUAAAAUGCUCCUCACUUACUGUUACGGUAUAAAUUGGACCUUUUUAAGUCCAAAAGUUCCCAAUUUUAGUCCUUUUGGGACUGCUUCUACUGCUGCAAUAAUCAAAUUGGAUUCUUAAAUCCAAAAUUCAAUUUUCGGCCAUUUGGAAUUGUUGUUACUCCGCUACUUAGCUGCUGCCACUGAUUUGGGUUUUAACCCAUUAAUAUUAGCUUCCCCUUUAUAACUUUGGCGGAGGUCGACUCAAAGAAAGGAAGAUGCAAGAGAGGGGAGUCCAAUUGGACUCAUUCGGAGGGAGUUCCUGCAAAGUAGAGAAAAGGAAGAAGAAUUAGCACAUGUAGCGAGAAAAUGACACUUCAGUUUUAAACAUUCAAACACAAGGAUGAAAUUAACCAAAUAAAACUAUCGUGAACAAAGGGGGAAAAGAAACAGAUCCGAAGCUAUUGCUAAGUUCAUAAAUCCACAAAAUGAUUAAUUAGUCACUGGACCUUUUGAUCUAUACAACCAGCAAAAGGCAUACUUACAAUGGCCAAAAUUGUACUAAACAUGCAAACGUAAUCAGCCAUCAGUUAAAUAAAAGAAAAGAUAGUAGCGUUCCGAUUUUAGCUUAGACUUCAUAUAUCAUUGACUAGUGACUUCUUUCACCAAAAACAAGCUCAACGUACAUAUCUAUAACAAAACUACAAAAGCAGACCCCAAAAGCAGAGCCUUCAGGCAACAACUUCUUUUGAAAUCGAAAAACAAAACACCACUUUAUAUAAUUAAGACGAUAAAAAAAAGAAUUCCAGAUUUGAACCAAUGAAAAUCGAACAUAGUCUAACAGAAGGAGUACAACUAUAUUCAGAAAAAUGAGAACUGGACAGAUUUUAAAACAAAGAAAACUAAUUAAAUAUCUCAAACUCAAACCAAUCUUUAAAGCAGGGGAUUUAAAAAAGAUUGCUAAAGCAAAAGACUACUACAAGAAGCUUUACCAGGAGACAAGCAGAGAACAUUCAAUACUAAAUAACACGUCUCAAAUAAUCAGUUUAAGGCACAAAAUAGAAAGAAAUUGCUAAAUGAGCUCACAUUUAAAAAUCAAAACGACACCAACAUCUAUUUUGAGAAACAAAGAAACCUUGAAAUAAUCCGCAUGAUACAGAGGAAUUAAAAGGAGACUUAACCAUCCAAACUAAAAAAUAAAUAAAAAAUGUCUAGCAUAAGACAAACAAGAAGCUUCUCAUCCAUUUCCGAUACAACUAAGAAAAACUAAAACUAUUAAGAGCGAAUUUGCGGGUAUUUAAGAAACUAUUAAGACAAGAAAUAAAAUACUAAGACCUUAGUUUUAAAUCUAAUUAACCAAUUUACAUAUUCAAGUUUUCAAAUCAGUGAACUGUUAGCCAUAACACAUAACAAAAAUUAGCAUCUACAAUAGAAAUUAACAUAUAGAGUAGAAACUAUACCAAGCAAGAAUAAAUAGUCUAGAACAGAAAACUUAACAACAUAAAAAUAAAGAAACUUAUGAGACUAAACCCACAUAAAACAACAAAGAAAUCAUACUAUCCAAAUGCUCGAACCAACUUAAGGAGAGAAAAGAAUUUACCUUUUGCCGAGCAGGAACCAAGACGACGAGCUCGAGAAUGACACCACCUUCAACUCUGUUGGUAAAUUUUAGUAGUAUGAGUUUUAGAAAGCAGAGAAGUCAAGAAGAAUAUUGGUAGAAGAACAUUUUUAUUGAUGUCUUCAGAUUUCAUUUAUAAGACUGGAAUGAAAAACAGAAAGCAGUAAACCCACUACUAGCAUAUUCCUAACUCACUAACUUACUCCUAAAUGAUAGGAAUAAAUGGCUAACAACUAAUUGACUAAGUCUUAUCUAAUAUAAUGCAGUAAAAGUAAAAGUGCAGUUGAAAAAGCAAAUUCCUAACACUCCUCCUUGCUUUGGAAACUGCAAACUCCAAUUUUCUGUCUAAGAAGCUGAAACUUGCCGACUGGUAAAGGCUUAGUGAAUAUAUCAUCCAAUUGUUCUUCCGUCUUGCAGUAGACAAGAGUUAUAUCUCCAUCUUUUUGCACUUCUCUCAAGAAAAAGAACUUGAUUUUGAAGUGCUUAGUUCUUCCAUGAAACACAGGAUUGUGAGAUAUAGCUAUUGCUGCUUCAUUGUCCACGAACACUUUGAUGCUUCCAGUCGGUUCCAUAUGCAAAUCAACCAGAAUUUUCUUCAGCCACAAUGCUUGAUUUACUGCUGCUGCAGCUNNNNNNNNNNNNNNNNNNNNNNNNNNNNNNNNNNNNNNNNNNNNNNNNNNNNNNNNNNNNNNNNNNNNNNNNNNNNNNNNNNNNNNNNNNNNNNNNNNNNNNNNNNNNNNNNNNNNNNNNNNNNNNNNNNNNNNNNNNNNNNNNNNNNNNNNNNNNNNNNNNNNNNNNNNNNNNNCCUGAAGUACUCUUUGCAUCAUCCUCGGAACCGCCCCAAUCACUGUCGGAAUACCCACAAAGCUUCACAGGUUGACUCUUCUGAAACUUGACUCCAUAGGUGAUGGUUCCUUUGAUGUAUCGCACAACUCUUUUGGCUGCCUGCAAAUGUACUUCACUAGGACAAUGCAUGAAUCUUGAUAAAACACUUACAGCAUACAAUAUAUCAGGUCUUGUUGCUGUAAGAUACAUUAAACACCCAAUGAAACUUCUGAAGUAUGUCUCAUCCACCUUUUCGGCUCCAUCAUCUUUACUUAGUUUCUCUUUUUGGUUCAUGGGAGUACUAAUCUCUUUGCAAUUGUCCAUUUUGAAUUUCUUGAGAAUUUCCUUUGCGUACUUUUUCUGGCAAACGAAAAACUCAUCUUUUCCUUGUGUAAUCUCCAUUCCAAGGAAAUAUGUCAUAAGACCAAGAUCAGACAUUUCAAAAGCUGGCAUCAUAGCUUGCUUGAACUCCUCAAUUAGCUUUUCACUGCUCCCUGUAAUCAAAAGGUCAUCCACAUAAAGAGAAACAACAAGAAUCUCACUGCCAUUAUGUUUAACAUACAAUGUGAAUUCUGAAAGACUCUUUUCAAAAUCGAGACCGAGAAAAUAAUCAUCUAUUCGACUAUACCAAGCUCUUGGUGCUUGUUUUAAGCCAUAAAGAGCUUUAUGUAGUCGAUAGACUUUAUCUUCCUUUCCAUCUAUAACAAAUCCUUCAGGUUGCUCAACAUAAAUUUCUUCUUCAAGAAUGCCAUUAAGAAAUGUUGAUUUGACAUCUAUUUGAUGCACUUUCCAGCCACGUUGUGCAGAAACAGUUAUAAGCAAUCUGAUUGUGUCGAGCCUAGCAACAGGAGCAAAAGUGUCAGAAUAAUCUACACCAAAAAUCUGUGCAUAACCCUUAACUACAAGCCUUGCUUUAUGCUUGUUGAUUGAACCAUCAGCAUUUAGCUUGGUUCGGAACACCCACUUUACCCCAAUUACUUUUCUGCCUUGAGGUUUGUCAACAAGUUGUCAUGUAUCAUUUUUUUCGAUCAUAAACAACUCCUCCUCCAUUGCAUUUCUCCAAUUGGGGUCUUUUAGAGCAUCUUUAGGGUUAGCAGGUUCACGAAUCGCAACAUUGCAUCUCUCAUAUAUAUCAGAGAGCAAUCGAGUUCCCCGAACUGGUGGAUCAUCGUCCCUUUCAUUUAACCACGAGCUUGUUUUUUGGAUGGAAUUCCUUGAGUCAUCCCAAUCCCAUUCUUCAUUCUCCAUGAAGUGGACAUCUCUGCUGAUAAUUAUCUUCUCACCUUCAGGUUGAAAGAUUUUGUACGCUUUUGAAACAUUACUGUAGCCAAUAAAAAUGCCCGGGGCAGCCUUCUUAUCUAGUUUAUCCCGUUUGACCUGAGGUACAUAGGUAAAACAAAGACAACCAAACACUUUAAGAAAAUGCAGUGGAGGCUUGUAUCCAUACCAUGCUUCAAAAGGAGUUUGAUCUUUCACAGCUUUUGAGGGAAGUCGAUUUUGUAGGAACAUAGUUGUACUUGCUGCCUCUGCCCAAAACAUCUUUGGCAAAUUCUUUUCGUGCAACAUACAUCUUGCCAUCUCCAUGAUAUAUCUGUUUCUUCUCUCACUAACUCCAUUUUGUUCUGGAGUAUAAGGAGCAGUAAGUUGACGUUCAAUCUCUGCUUCUUCACAAAAUAGAUCAAACUGAUGAGAAUUGUACUCCUUGCCAUUGUCAGAUCGUAAAAUCUGAAUUUUGCAGCAACUUUCAUUUUCCAACUUCGCUUUCAACUUCGAAAAAAUGAUCUUGACCUCCGAUUUAUACUUUAAAAAAUAAAUCCUGCAUCUUCAGGUCAGAUCAUUAAUAAAAAUAACAUAAUAAAGACUACCUUUAAGUGAAGGAGUCCUUUGGGGCCCUCCAAUAUCGGUGUGAACCAGCUGCAACUUUCUUGUUGCUCUCCAAGUUGCCUUUGGGAAUGGAAGUCUACUUUGUUUUCCAAAUUGACAAGCCCGACAAUUUUUAGAACUCGCUCCCAGUUUAGAAAGGUUCUCGACUAUCACCAAUUCUUGCAUUUUGAGAAGCCCUUGAUAAUGAUAGUGUCCGAGUCUCUUAUGCCAUAACUCGGAAGCAUUUUCUCUUGCCGAAUACACCACUUGUUCUUCCUCCAAUGGAUUUAAUGAGAAACUUCUGCCUCUCAUUUUGACUUUAAACAAGUCAUGUCCUGAGGCUUCCUUGAUCAAGCAAUGAUUAUUUUUGAAAUACAAUUUGAAACCUUUUUCUAACAAUUGACCAACACUUAACAAGUUCUGAUCUAAAUCUGGUACAUAAAGAACAUCGGAAAUUGCUUUAGUACCUGAUUGUGUUUCAAUUGUAAUAGUUCCCAUUCCUUUUACCGGAAUAGAACCGCCAUGACCUAUUCUGACUUUUGUAACUCCAGUAGGCUUCAAGUCUUUAAAGAUCUCUUUGUCAUGAGUCAUAUGGUUUGUGCAUCCGCUAUCAAUCAGCCAAGACUCAGUUGAAACAUUGCUUACAAAACACGAUGCCACAAAGAGUUGAUCCUCUUCCUGUUCAUUAACAACCUGGGCAUCUGCGUCUUGCUACUGUAAUUUACUCUUGCAAAUAAUUGCUUCAUGCCCGAGUUGGUUGGACUUACUGCAUUUAGCAUCAGGCCUUUUCCAACACUUAUACGGCGCAUGACCAUUCUUUCCACAAUGCUUACAAGGAGGAUAGUUUCCUUUAAAGCUACCUGUUUUGCUUUUGUUGUUGUAACGAGCUGCUCCUUCUCCAUUUUUUGGCUGGUUCUUCUUAUUGUUUUUCUUUUUGUAUCUUCCACUCUCUUCAUGUUUGGCCGCCAAUGCUCCCUCUCUNNNNNNNNNNNNNNNNNNNNNNNNNNNNNNNNNNNNNNNNNNNNNNNNNNNNNNNNNNNNNNNNNNNNNNNNNNNNNNNNNNNNNNNNNNNNNNNNNNNNNNNNNNNNNNNNNNNNNNNNNNNNNNNNNNNNNNNNNNNNNNNNNNNNNNNNNNNNNNNNNNNNNNNNNNNNNNNNNNNNNNNNNNNNNNNNNNNNNNNNNNNNNNNNNNNNNNNNNNNNNNNNNNNNNNNNNNNNNNNNNNNNNNNNNNNNNNNNNNNNNNNNNNNNNNNNNNNNNNNNNNNNNNNNNNNNNNNNNNNNNNNNNNNNNNNNNNNNNNNNNNNNNNNNNNNNNNNNNNNNNNNNNNNNNNNNNNNNNNNNNNNNNNNNNNNNNNNNNNNNNNNNNNNNNNNNNNNNNNNNNNNNNNNNNNNNNNNNNNNNNNNNNNNNNNNNNNNNNNNNNNNNNNNNNNNNNNNNNNNNNNNNNNNNNNNNNNNNNNNNNNNNNNNNNNNNNNNNNNNNNNNNNNNNNNNNNNNNNNNNNNNNNNNNNNNNNNNNNNNNNNNNNNNNNNNNNNNNNNNNNNNNNNNNCAAGGUAUGUGAGCUUUUAGUGUUGGGUGAUCCUUUCCCCCACACACCUAGCCCUUUUUUUUCUUAUCAAGAAAGGAUGGGCUUGUUGAUAAAGUUGUUAGUUGUUGUGGUUGNNNNNNNNNNNNNNNNNNNNNNNNNNNNNNNNNNNNNNNNNNNNNNNNNNNNNNNNNNNNNNNNNNNNNNNNNNNNNNNNNNNNNNNNNNNNNNNNNNNNUGGAUCCAUUAGGAAGUUCAGGUCCUAUACCUUUGGCUGGGUAUAACAUGCGCUGGCAGCGUGAGGUAGAUCGUUGUAUCAUCACUAUAGCUCUUAAGUGAUGGUUGUCGGUUAGAGAAACUCCCACAAAAGUUAUUGUAUUUUUAUAUGCACGGUUGAUUGUAUUUUUACAUACAUUUCAGAGUUAUGUUGUAUCCUUGCAUACACACAGAGUUGACAGCAUGUUUUUAAAUAGUUUGUUUCUUUAUAUUGCACUUGUUUUAAAUUGCUUUAUAUUCAAAUGAGUUCAGCCAUAUUGAGUUGAGUACCCAGAGUCGAAUAUCAUAUCUUUGAGUUGAGUAUCUAAUCUCUGAGUUGAGUAUCUUAUCCUUGGGUACUUCUGAGUUGAGUAAUUUGAGUAGUUUUGAGUAUCCUUGAGUAUUCCUUGAUUUGAGUAAGUUUCAGAAGAGAUAAGUAUGCUUCCUUUUUAUCAAGUUUCAAGCUUAUGUUAUGCUUUAGAAUUCCCCUUACAUGCUCGUACAUUCCACGUACUGAGUCAUUUGACCUGCACUUUCUCAUGAUGCAGACACAAGUAUUCAGGAUCAUCAACAGGAGCUUCGUUGAUACAUCCGAGAGUUCGAGGUAGCUAUGGUGAGCCUCCUAGUUUCCGAAGGAUUUCAUUUACUUUUAAGUUUAGUCAGGAUGUCGUGGGUCUUGUCCCGACUUCCAUCUUUAUCAAUUAGAGGUUUUCAUAGAUAGUCAGUAUAGUUGAGAAGUCUGUAUCAUUUAUUUUAUUAAAUGUUUUAAAGACUUAAGUUGCCUAUUUUAUGGCGAGUUGAAUAAUUUAUUUUAUUAUUCAGAGUUUUCAUUUGAGUUAAAGUUGUAAUUUAAGUUUUAUGUAACUUUUGUUUCUAGUUUUAAGCUUUGUAUGCUUGAAUCUAGUUUUCCGCUUGUAGUCAGCCGAGGAUGGAGGGUUCGCUUGGGGACCAGCAAUGGUCUUCGAGUGCCGGCCACGUCCAGGGUGUAGGCUCGGGUCGUGACAAAAUAAAUGGUCUCAAGUCUUUAAUUUUACAAGAUACAUCAUCUGCAUAUUCUAUUCACUGUUUUGCUCACCAAUUGCAAUUGGCACUUCUAGGUCUUUCCAAAAAGAAUUAGGAUGUGGAUAAUUUUUUUUAUGUUCUCACUAAUAUUUUGAAUACUAUUGAAGCUUCAUUUAAACGCAGAGAUUCACUUCGACAACAUCAAGAAGAUAAGUUGGAAAAGUUGCUUAAAUUUGGAGAAGUUCAUACAGGGUAAGGUUUGAAUCAAGAACGUGGCCUCCAACGACCGGGUGAUACUCGUUGGGGGUCUCAUUUUAAAACCUUGGACAAUUUCCUAAUUUUUUUUUCUUCAAUUGUUAAUGUGCUUAAGAAUAUGAAACGUGAUUGUCCAUAUCAUCUUGAUAGAUUUGCGGCGGAAAAUCUUUUGAGCAAGAUUCAUGAAUUUGAAUUUGUCUUUAUGUUGCACUUGAUGUUUAAGGUGUUGCUAUUGACGAAUGAGUUGAAUAAAGUUUUACAAAAGAAAGAUCAAAUAUCGUAAUGCUGUGGGAUUGCUUGGCCUUUCAAAGAAACGAUUGCAAAUGAUGAGAGAGGAUGAAUGGGACUCUAUGAUGGAUGAGGUUAGCUUAUUUUGUGGUAAACAUGGAAUUUCAAUUCCCAAAAUGAAUGAAGACUACUCUAAUGGGAAGUCGAAGCGUAAGAGGUCCAAUAUUUCAUAUUUGCAUCACUUUCGUGUGGAAGUAUUUUAUGCCGUCAUUGAUUUGGCACUUCAAGAACUCAAUAAUCGUUUUGAUGUGGUGACUAGUGACUUGCUCCUCGGUAUGGCUAGUUUGAGUCCGGUUGAUUCAUUUGCUAAUUUUCACAAGGAUAGGAUAAUGAAACUAGCCGAGUACUACCCAAGUGAGUUUGGUGAUAAAGAGCUUCGGGAACUCAAUUUUCAACUUGAUGAUUUUAUUGUCUAUGCUCAAAAGUGUGAUAGCAAGUUUCUCAACUUGAAGGGAAUCAAGGAUCUUGCAAAAGUGAUGAUAGAGACAAAACUAGAUCAAACUUGGUCACUUGUGUAUCUACUUGUGAAGCUAACUUUGAUUAUUCCUGUUGCUACCGCAAGCGUGGAAAGAGCAUUCUCAUCAAUGAAGUACAUAAAGAAUGAUUUGCGUAAUAGGAUGGAUGAAGAUCUUUUGAAUGGUUGUUUAGUUUGCUAUAUAGAGCGUAGUAUAUUUAAAAAUGUAAGUAAUUAUGCCAUUAUUGACCGUUUUCAAAAUAUGAAAACUCGUCGAGGACAAUUGUAAGUGAAUGAUGUUUUUUGCUAAUAUAUUACUAUAUAAAGAUUGCUACUACCUACUUGCUCGUCAACUUGUUCUCACCGUAAAAUUUAUAUAAUUGAAUUAAUUGUCUAUUUUGAAGAUAAUGGUGCCCCCAUGUUCUUGAGAUCCUGGAUACGCCUCUGGAGAGUACGUAAUAAAACAACUUGCACUUCGGGUGAUAGUGAAGAAAAUUAUAUACAUUCCCUUUAUUAAAUAAAAUACUUUGAUUUAUUUCUCAUCUUAAACCUAUUAAUUUUCACAAAUAUGAUUACUUAAAAUAAUUAUCAGCCAUAUAUUAUUGAGAAGUUAAUGUUUUUGACGAUUAACACUAGAAAGAAUUUGUAAAAUGUGAGCUAUAUAUCAAUUCCCUACUUGCACUUGCUAUAACAGGUAGUAAUUUAUAUUAGAGGGGUGAAAAAAUCUAAUCGAUCGAUAAACUAAAAUGAAAAAAGUGCUAUUGAUUUAUUGUUAUUGGGUUAUUGGGUCAACGAGGUUUUAAUGGUUUUAUAGAAAGAAAAAAAAUAUUGGGUUACCGGUUCGAUUUUAAUUUUUAAUAUUGGGUUAUUGGGUAUAACGAUAACCCAAUAAGACUAUAAUAAUUUACUAUUUUACUCAUACAUAAACAUUAAAUAUUAAUCGCAAUACCUUACUAGUUAGUGCAUUUGUCCUUUCACCUUCACAUCACACUUCACAGUGAUCACUUUAAGUUCAAAAAUUCACAUUAUACAAAACGUCAAAAUAUAAAGUAAGAAGCAUAUUCCUCUUAGUUUUUUUUUGUGUUACACUUGUAUAAUUCUUUUCAUGUUAGUUAUUAUUGUUUCUAUUUUAUGAGUAUUUGUAAAGUUACGGUAUUAUCUUGCCGCGUUAAAUUGUUUGAGAAGUCAUAUAUUUGUUUUAUAAGUAUUUUCUUAUUGGUUAAAUCAAAUAUCGAACCGCUAAGGACCCAAAACCAAUAAAAAAAUAUUUAAUUGAUUUGGUUAUUGAUUAAACGAAUUUAUAAACCGAUAAAUCAAACCAAUAAAAUACGACCCUAAUUUAUAUUUGCGAGUAUUGAUUAUUGAAGAAGAGAAGAAACGAAAGCUACUGCUAAUUCCAAAGGUAAAUAUACAUAAGUGAUAAGACAAUAAAUAAAUAUGUUUUACAAAUCACAAGCCACAAAUACAUCAAGCAAUCAAACAUUUAUUUAUUUAUUUAUUACAAUUACAAUUUACAAUCAAUCAUUCUGAAAUGCAUCUGCAAUUCAUUAGACAUAAAAUAUUUAGUUGAUUCAUUAAAUAAAAUUGUAAUUAACGUAGCAAACUAACCUAUUGACGCAUUGUGAAUUUCAUAUUCUCAGCUUUGCAAGACGUUCAGAGAGACUAAUUGGAGAACCGCUGCCUUGUACAAGUAACAACUUUUUCAAUUUAGGCAUACUGACAUCAUCCCUACACAUUACUUCAGACAACCCAUCUGGUUCAUUAAUAUGCAGAAAUUCAAGUUGCGGAAAGCUAUCACCACCAGAGAGAUCCAUUUUUUCUUCCAUAUGACUGCACCAAUCCAUUUUAAGUAUCCUUAAUUUGGGUAAUUUCUUAAGCACUGCCACUACAUGACCGUCUACCUUAUAGCGGACAAGAGUAAGCUUGACAAGAUUUGGAGGGAAUGCUUCAGAGUUCAAGCGCAUUGUUCCGCAAACAUUGAUCAAACACAACUUAACAAUAUUUGGAUAGGACGACAAGUUUAUUUGCUCACUCAUGUGCCUGGAAACACUGAGCUUCAGAACUUCCAGCGCCGUUGGCACAGGGCUCAAUGCUGAUAAUAUCUUAACUGUAGAAUCAGAUACUCCUAUUAUACCCAGUUUUCUUAAAUUCAUCAAUCGGUGCAACAAUGUCGCCUCAAAAAAUUUAUCAUCCAGCCACAUCAAAGUUUGUACAUUAUUAUGAGCCAAUGAGUACAAGUUUGGAAAAAUUGGGCUUAUAGAAAAGCAACUGUUAGAUGCUUGAUUAGAACCUCCAUAACAAAGAUGUUUCAAUUGUGUAGACUUCCAAACACCAGCAGGAAAUUUAAUUAAGCUAUAACCAAUAUCGAGGGUCUCUAGACGUUUGAGCUUCAGCAUACAAUUUGGCAGUUUCCCAUAAAUAUGCCCCUGGAAUCGCAGAUAACGUAAGCAACUCAUGUUCCCAAAUGUGUUUGGGAUACUGACAUCACAAAUAUCAUCAACAAAGAUGACUACAACCAACACUUGCAAUAAUUUGAAAUCAAGAUGAGCCAGUUGAGAAAAUAUGCAAGGGUCUUCUGUAAAACAGAAAAGUGCACGAAGCUUCUCAAGCUUAGUAUUUGAACGGAAGAACUCAUUCAUGACAUUAUUAUCAGAGUAGAAUGUAAUCCUUCGCACCCUAGCAACAUUGCCGGGAUCACCAAAUGCAUUGUGCUCGGUGUGAAAGAAGUUGCUUUCCUUAGCCAAGUCAACACAUAAACUAUGUAACAAGUCAUGUAUGCGACAACUUGAAAUUCUUCCAUCAUAUGUCCUUUUGGCAACUUGAAUCAUGUUUCUUGAAACCAAAUCAUUUAGGACAUCAUCCGCCACACUUUCAGCCUCUCGCCCAUUGCCACUAUUUACAACUAUCAACUUCUCAGCAAUCCACAUAUUUGUCAAAUCAAAAGCACGAAUUUCAUGAUCCUCGGGGUAAAGGCCAAAAUACAAGAAACAUGGCCUUAAUGCAAUUGGCAAAUCAUUGUAACUCAGAGCCAAUACCUUAGCACAUCCAUCUUGAACUUUAUGGCUCAUACUCUCAAGUACUCUGUUCCAUGCACGUUCUGUUCUUUCUCUUGCCCUUAACAUGCCUGCGGUCACCUCAAUGGCUAGAGGUAUACCUCCACAUCUCCCAACUAUAUUUCUACCAAUAUCUACCAACUCUGGUGAAGCAUUGGCCCAAUUAUUAUUGUUAUCAAAAAUAAAGAUUUUCUUGGUAAAGAGUUCAAAACUGUUCUCCGAAUUUAGAGGUUGCAACACGUGAAUUGAGAAAUCCCCUCCUAUAUAUCUGACUACAUUACUAUUUCGAGAGGUUAUAAUUAUCCUACUGCCAAUUUUUGAAUCACAUUCAGGAAAGACAAGUUUUAGAUCAUCCCAAAUUUCAACAUCCCAAAUGUCAUCUAAGAGGAUAACAUACCUUUUUAUUUUCAAGAGUGACCGUAGGUUGUUCUCCAAGUUUUCUUUCCUUUCAUCUUCCGUCAGUCCAACUUGUUUGGC
RNAcentral lists this long non-coding RNA (36782 nucleotides) under Solanum tuberosum (potato). RNAcentral describes it as "long non-coding RNA (STUB_LNC009467)". The stretch from base 13144 to 13191 matches the Rfam family "MIR8032 microRNA precursor family". The record is from RNAcentral. Lineage: Eukaryota; Viridiplantae; Streptophyta; Magnoliopsida; Solanales; Solanaceae.